RNAcentral lists this ribosomal RNA (772 nucleotides) under uncultured Neocallimastigales. Its description in RNAcentral is "partial large subunit ribosomal RNA". It matches the Rfam family "Eukaryotic large subunit ribosomal RNA", at positions 22 to 635 of the family's 3401-position model. Lineage: Eukaryota; Fungi; Neocallimastigomycota; Neocallimastigomycetes; Neocallimastigales. The record is from RNAcentral.
GUACACGCUGUGACUAGAUAUCAAUAAGCGGAGGAAAAGAAACUAACAAGGAUUCCCCUAGUAACGGCGAGUGAAGCGGGAAGAGCUCAAAUUUGAAAUCUUAAAGGGUUUCCCUUUACGAAUUGUAGUUUAAAGAAGUGUUUUCUGUUGAGGUUUUGGUAAAAGUUCUUUGGAAUAGGACAUCAUAGAGGGUGAGAAUCCCGUAUUUGACCUUUACUUUCAACUUUGUGAUACACUUUCAAAGAGUCGGAUUGUUUGGGAAUGCAGUCCAAAAUGGGUGGUAAAUUUCAUCUAAAGCUAAAUAUUGGCGAGAGACCGAUAGCGAACAAGUACCGUGAGGGAAAGAUGAAAAGAACUUUGAAAAGAGAGUUAAACAGUACGUGAAAUUGUCAAAAGGGAAGCGUUUGACACCAGUGUUGUUUUUCUGAAAAUCAAUUAAAGAACUGUUUAUGCUAAGCUGUUUAGACUUUAUCAGCUAUCUGUUUAGUUUUGAGCUUUUCUUUAAUGCACUUUCAGUUAACAAGUCAACAUCAAUUUCUUUUGCUGUAAAAAAGCUUGAGGAAGGUGGCUUGAGAUUCGUCUUAAGUGUUUAUAGCCUCUUGCCUAUGCAGUCGGAGAGAUUGAGGUCUGCAGCGUAGAUCCUUCGAGGCUAAAUGCAUUUGUGCUAAGUUAUAGCAUUUUAUAGACAACUUGUUGACUAUGAUUUGUCUUGUAGCUUACUCGCUUAUGUUAUUUUACCUACGCUUAGGAUGUUGAAGAUGUAGCACAUCAU